CGUCAGGUGGGGUGCUAUUGCCCAAAACCAAGCUUGACCAAUCCCGACCCAACCCGGGCAUAGUCGGUCAGUGAGAACCUGUGAUGUACCUAAGCAGGCGAGCUCCUGGCAGUCAACAGAUAAAAGGAACAAAGACCACAAAGCAAGGAGGCUUGUGGUGGCUGGCCAGCUGUGAAACUUGAUUGAUAUGUGAGAUAUGGUCUCUGGUAAUCGAUUACCAAGGGUGGGUAAUCGAUUACAAGGCUUAAAAAUGAAGACAGGAGGCUAAGAUGGUCUCUGGUAAUCGAUUACCAAGGGGUGUAAUCGAUUACCAGGCUUGAAAACGAGGUCAAGAAGCCAUGAGGGCUUCUGGUAAUCGAUUACCAAGAGGGUGUAAUCGAUUACCAGGCUUAGAAAAGGGACUGGAACAUUGUGGAGGCCUCUGGUAAUCGAUUACCAGUCUGUGUAAUCGAUUACACAGAGGAAUGGGUCACUGGUAAUCGAUUACCAGGUAUGUGUAAUCGAUUACACAGUGCAUUUUUGCAUAUUUCAUGUUCUGAGGCUGUGUAAUUCGAGUUUAGCCUCUGGUAAUCGAUUACCAAGUCUGUGUGAUCGAUUACCAGAGAUGAAAAGCCUUAAGAUACUCCUUUUUAAUUGCAUGUAGUGGUCAUGAGACGUAUUUGUGCGACGGCAUAGAUAGAUUCUUGUGAAAGAGUCUACCCCUUUCUUUUCUUCCUUGUAGAUCAUGAUGGCGGCGCAGCUAAUCCAUGAUCGAGUAGAGAUGGAGUGCCUAGAGGGAGCCUGGGAGACCCUCGAAGGCAACACGAGGUGCCGAUUUCGGGGCACCAUUCGAUUCACGGCUACUUCUUUGGUGCAUCCAGAUGAACCUGCACGGACACUUCAGCGCACGGUGGAGUGGACAGCUCCUUGGAUUAGUUUUGUAUAUCUUUGAGGGUGGGUGUAUCUAGGACUGACUGUUAGAUUUACUCUUUUGUUUUUGUAUGGGUAGACCUGAUGUAUAGGAAUUUGAUGAUUGUAUACUUGUGGCUGAAGCCACCACUAUGGACACCUUUGCUCUGGAUGACACUAUAUAUUUUGUAAAACUCCCAUAUUUUGGACAGCUUUAAAUGAUGAAUGCAUUUAUGAUCGAUCUUGUUAUUUGAAAAGAAAGCAUUAGCAACUUUAUUUGUAAAAGAGUUUAUCGACCGUAUUUUAUUCUUUUAUUUUCAUGUGACGACCUAAAGUAAUGGCUGGUAUAUUCUUCCUUUUGAAACAGCAAAAUAAUUUAGAGAAUUAUGAGCGGUAAGAAAGAAAUGACUCCGAAUAGAGUUGUGAACUGGCCAUUCAGGACUCUAUAGUGAGGAUUUUCCUUCAAAACCUUGUUUUGGUGAAAAGAGAAAGAAAUGAAAAAGAAAAAUAAAAAAAAAAUUUACCAUGGUUUUUGUUUAUUUAAAUUAUUACUAUUAAACCAGUCAUUAAUUUAGGGACGCCACAAUUGGUGGUAUCAGAGCAAAAGUUGGAUUCUAGUGAACCUGUUAUGGUCUUGCUGUGUGAAUGCUGUGUAUCUCUGAAACUUGGAAGUAGGUUUCGGGGAGUGACGUUAAGUCACACAUUGUGUGUAUUUCUGCUUUCUUGUCUUGAGCAUGGAUGUGUGACUGAUUCAUAGGAUCGUUGUGUGUAUAAGUAUGUAUAAAGAGAAGGAUGUUGUUAUAACUGUCAUGGCCUGUCUGGUACACUCUCUCAUUAGGAUUUCUUGGGUACUAAUAGUUUCCCUACAGGAUAGGUAUGGCAGGACGUGGUAGGGAUCAAAACCGUGAUGUCCUCGACCGCAUUACAGCUGUGCUGGAAACUCUAGUGCAGGAACGUGAUGUGGAGCCGGCGGAGUAUCGGGGACUCAUGGCUUUCCGUAAGAACCACCCGCCAAAGUUCAGUGGAGACUAUGAUCCGGAAGGUGCUAGGUUGUGGUUAGCUAAGACGGAGAAGAUUUUCGAGGCGAUGGGUUGCCUUGAGGAGCAUAAGGUUCUUUAUGCAACAUUUAUGCUCCAAGGAGAGGCCGAGAAUUGGUGGAAGUUCGUGAAGCCUUCAUUUGUUGCACCUGGAGGCGUGAUUCCUUGGAAUUCCUUCAAGGACAAGUUCCUGGAGAAUUACUUUCCGCGAGAUCUCAGGAAGCGGAAGGCGAGGGAAUUUCUGGACUUGAAGCAGGGAAACAUGUCUGUUGGGGAGUACACGGCUAAGUUUAAUGAGCUUCUGCAGUAUUGGCCUCAAUACCAAGAUGCUCGGAAUGAGGAAGAUUUAUGUGCUCAGUUUGAGAACGGGCUUCGGUUGGAGAUCCAACAGGCGGUUAGCUACAUGCAGAUCACGGAUUUUAAUCAGUUGGUGACAAAGUGCAGGAUUUUUGAGGACAAGAUGAAGGAGAGGCAAGCUAGAGGUGUUGGAGGACCUCAGAGAAACCAUCCUUUUAGAGGAAAUGGUAACAAGAGGAUGAAGCCGUAUGCUAGCAACAAGGGGAAGCAACCUAUGGCUACCUCCAACAUGAGCCAGUCAAGGGGGACUGGGGUACAGUGCUUUCAGUGUGGGGGACCGCAUCUUAAGAGGAAUUGCCCACAGCUCCAGCAGACACAAGAGAGCCGUUGCUAUGUUUGUGGCAAGGUGGGCCAUUACGCUCGGGAAUGUAGGGUGACAGGGAGACCGACGGUAACAGCCAAUUCCAACACCGUCAAUCGUGGACCCACUAAUUCCACAAGGAGCGGUAAUGUUAGCAACAACAACACUAGUGGUGGAAGACCAAAAGUACCCUCUCGGGUAUUUGCUAUGAGUGGUUCAGAAGCGGCUGCCUCCGACGAUUUGAUAAGGGGUAAGUGUUUGAUUGCUGAUAAACUACUAGAUGUACUUUAUGAUUCAGGUGCCACGCAUUCUUUCAUAUCUCGUGCAUGUGUAGAGAGGUUGGGGUUAUGUGCGACGGAGUUACCAUAUGAUAUGGUGGUGUCUACUCCGACGAGUGAGCCUGUAACCACCUCUCGGGUGUGUUUGAAGUGUCCCAUAAUUGUUGAGGGUCGAUCUUUUAUGGCGGAUUUGAUUUGCCUACCUUUAGCUCAUCUAGAUGUGAUCUUGGGGAUGGAUUGGUUAUCUAUUAACCAUAUCUUUCUAGACUGUAAGGAGAAGAUGCUAGUGUUUGGUGGAGAUAUAGUUCCAAGUGAAUCUUUUGAAAGGGAUGCGACCAACGAAGGAAUGGGGGAUGUUCGAACUUACAUGGUGUUGUUCUCUAUGUAUGUGGAAGAGGACGCUGAAGUUAAUAGUAUACCGGUGGUGUCGGAAUUUCCAGAAGUUUUUCCUGACGACAUUUGUGAAUUGCCACCUGAGAGAGAAGUGGAAUUCAUUAUUGACUUGGUGCCUAGGGCGAAUCCAGUGUCGAUCGCGCCUUAUAGGAUGUCUCUGGUGGAACUAGCAGAGGUAAAGGCACAAGUACAAGAUCUUUUGAGCAAACAAUUUGUUCGUCCAAGCGCAUCACCGUGGGGAGCACCGGUCUUGUUGGUUAAAAAGAAGGAUGGAAGUAUGAGGAUGUGUGUAGACUACCGGCAGCUAAACAAGGUCACUAUCAAGAACAAAUAUCCUCUACCAAGGAUAGAUGAUUUGAUUGACCAAUUGAGGGGAGCAACGGUAUUUUCAAAGAUCGAUCUGCGAUCGGGGUAUCAUCAAAUUCGAGUUAAGAAGGAAGAUAUCCCAAAAACUGCGUUUCGGACCCGGUAUGGGCACUACGAGUAUUUAGUCAUGCCAUUUGGAGUGACUAAUGCUCCAGCUAUUUUCAUGGACUAUAUGAACCGUAUAUUCCAUGAUUACUUGGAUCAGUUCGUGGUUGUGUUCAUUGAUGAUAUCCUAGUGUAUUCGAGGAAUAAGGAGGAGCAUGAGAAGCACUUGAGGAUUGUGUUGCAUAUCCUGAGGGAUAGGAAGUUGUUCGCCAAAUUGUCAAAAUGUGACUUUUGGUUGGAGAAAGUGCAGUUCUUAGGGCACGUGAUUUCUAAAGACGGGGUUGCAGUGGAUCCGAACAAGGUGGAGUCGGUUAUGGAGUGGCAACAACCGACAACUCCAACAGAGGUUCGAAGCUUCUUGGGGUUGGCUGGCUAUUAUAGAAAGUUCAUUGAGGGAUUUUCUAAAUUGGCAUUGCCUCUAACUAAGUUGACUCGUAAGAACGAGAAGUUUGUCUGGAAUGAGAAGUGUGAGCAAAGUUUCCAAGAGUUGAAGAGGCGGUUGACGACAGCUCCAGUGUUAAUUUUGCCCGACCCUAAGAGGACAUUUGAAGUGCAUUGCGAUGCAAGCGGGCAAGGCUUGGGAUGUGUGUUGAUGCAAGAGGGAAGAGUAGUGGCUUAUGCUUCACGUCAAUUACGUCCUCAUGAAGUUAACUAUCCGACCCAUGACUUGGAACUAGCAGCGGUGGUCUUUGCUUUAAAGAUUUGGAGGCAUUAUUUGUACGAUACUCGUUUUGAAGUUUUCAGUGAUCACAAGAGUCUCAAAUACUUGUUCGAUCAGAAGGAACUCAAUAUGAGACAACGAAGAUGGAUGGAGUUCCUCAAGGAUUAUGAUUUUGGACUUUCCUACCAUCCAGGAAAGGCUAAUGUAGUAGCCGAUGCGCUAAGCCGGAAAUCUUUACAUGUUGCGACUAUGAUGAAUUUGGAGCAGAGAUUGAUAGAGGAGUUCCGAGAUUUGAAUCUAGCAAUCGAGAUACGACCAAAGAGCUUAUUUGUGGGAGCAUUGCAGAUCACCAAUGAAUUCGUAGAUCACAUACGCGAGGCUCAAGAGGAUGACCCGUUUUUGCAAGGCAAGGUGUUAGAAGUAAUGGGGGAUAAGGUUGUGGAGUUUGAGAAGGACACAACCGGGUUAAUUAGAUUCAAGGGAAGGAUAUGUGUGCCACCUUUAGAUGAUUUGAAAGUUAAGAUCUUGGAAGAAGCGCAUAAAAGUCGUCUUAGUUUCCAUCCAGGAAUGACUAAGAUGUACCAAGAUUUGAAGAGAAGUUUUUGGUGGCAUGGCAUGAAGAAAGAUGUAGCUGAAUAUGUAGCAAGAUGUUUGACAUGUCAAAAGGCUAAGGUUGAGCACCAGCGACCAUCAGGAGAAUUGAAGCCAUUGGAAAUUCCGGAAUGGAAAUGGGAGAGCAUAUCUAUGGAUUUUGUAUCUAGUUUGGCCAAGACUAGUCGUGGGCAUGAUGCUGUGUGGGUCAUAGUUGAUCGACUCACCAAAUCUGCUCAUUUUAUUCCGGUGAAUAUGAAGUAUAGAAUGGAGAAGCUAGUGGAGUUGUACAUCAAGGAAGUGGUAAGGUUGCAUGGAAUUCCUUCUAGUAUUGUAUCCGACAGGGAUCCGAGGUUCACUUCGCGAUUCUGGACAAGUCUACAUGAAGCCUUGGGGACAAAGUUGAAGCUUAGUUCAGCUUAUCAUCCUCAAACAGAAGGUCAGACUGAAUGAACCAUUCAGACUCUAGAGGAUCUACUUCGGGCGUGUAUUAUAGAGCAACAAGGUAGCUGGAUGGAUUGUUUGCCAUUGAUUGAGUUUACUUACAACAAUAACUACCAAGCCAGUAUUGGUAUGGCUCCUUUUGAAGCUUUAUAUGGACGAAAGUGCAAAACUCCUAUUUGUUGGUAUGAUGAUGGAGAAGCGGUACUUCUUGGACCUGAAAUGCUACAACAGAUUAACGAACAAGUGAAGUUGAUUCGAGAAAAGAUAAAAGCAUCUCAGGAUAGGCAGAAGAGCUAUUAUGAUAGAAGGAGGAAGCCACUAGAUUUUCAGGAAGGGGAACAUGUGUUUUUGAGGGUUUCUCCCGUAACCGGAGUUGGAAGAGCUCUCAAGGCUAGGAAGUUGACACCCAAGUAUCUAGGUCCGUAUUAGAUUUUGAAGAAGAUUGGGCCUGUAGCUUAUCAUAUCGCCUUACCUCCGAGUUUAUUGAAUUUGCAUCCUGUGUUUCAUGUCUCUCAACUGAGACGGUACAACCCAGAUCCAUCACAUAUACUUGCAGUGGACGAGGUACAGGUGAAGGAUAAUCUCACCUAUAAAGCACAACCUCAGAAGAUCACUGACCGAGGAAUGAAGUCGUUGAGAGGAAAGGAGAUCGCGUUGGUGAAGGUGCAGUGGGGAACCGAUGAAGGUGAUUCUACAUGGGAGUUGGAGGAUAGGAUGAGAGAAUUGUACCCAAGUUUGUUCAUCGAGUAGUUAAUUUCGGGGACGAAAUUCCUAAAAGGGUGGGAGUAUUGUAACAUCCUGGAAAUUUCUACCCGGAGUUUUUGGAAACGAUGUAUUUUGAAUGAUUAUAUAUAUAAGUAUUAUUCAGUGUAUAUGCCUAUAUGUUCUUGGUAGAAGUAGGAAUAGUGGGGGCAAGAUAUGCGGGUUAGACUAAUUAAGGAAGAGAAAUCCAUAACUGGGAGGUUAUGGGUUAAUUCUUAAUUAAUUAGUUUAAAAAUCAUCGUUUUGCGUGUGUCUUAGAAUUUAACGAAACCAACCUCUGAACCACGCUCGGGGUUUUAUUCUGAGCGUUUUGAUAUAUAUAUUGCGUACUUUCGAAAACUGGCCCUGACGGACGUAGAGAAACACGAGGAACUGGAACCAGAGAAACGGCACGCAAACCGAGGCAGGAUUUUAGCGUUUCAAAGGUCAGAUUUUCCUCACUUUUGUGACUGAGUAUGGGUCACAGUCAAAAAGGGAAAGUGGACCCUUUUUGCUCCACUCAAAUGGAGACAUGUGGCAUUGCUUAAAUAAAAUAAUAGAAAAAGAGAAAACCCUUUUAUUUAAAACCAAAAAGCUUUUCUCUCUCUUCACUCAGCCCCACACUUUUUCAGACAGCUCUCUCUCUCCCUCACGUUGCCAUUUUCUUCUUCUUCAUUCUCCAUUGAAGCUCCAAGCAAAGCUUCAACCUUUGGCCAUCAUUUCUGCCCCAAAUUGCGAAAGGAGGGCAUUUUCGGGGUCGUGAAGUGCGUGGCUACGAGUGGGACUUCGAAAAUUCAGGUUUGGGUGGACUUCUUUCUCUCUUAAAUUUCGUGGGUAUGGGGUUUUGGGAGAUAUGAUGGGUAGUCUUGCUAGUUUUCUGCUUCAUGAUAGUUAUUUGUGAAGAAACUUGUUGAAAGCUUGUUGAAAUUGCCAUGUUUGGAUGAGUUAAACAUACCCAUUCUGUUUUAGGGUUUUUAUGAGGAUGCUUGUGAUGUUCAUGUACUGAAAUUGCUUAUGGAAAACUGUUAGAGAUGAAAGGUAGAGUUAACCUAGGGUUAGAAAGUGAGAAUGUGGUGUUAUGAGUGGAAAAAGAGUGAGGCUUUGAGAGUUGAAAGGCUAAAUCUGGAUUCUGUAGUAAAUGGAGGUUAAAAUGAGUUAAUCCUAGCUUGAAAUGCCAUUUAGGACUUAUGAGAAAGGUUAGGCUAUGCUAGAGAGAAAAACAAAUGACCAAAGUGAACCAAGAGCCAUUUCUAGGGCAAAAUUGGGUGUUGAGGAGUCAAAUUUUGAUUCGGUGGAAUUUUAGGUGUAAAUCCAGUUUGAGCAAGUUUAGAUUGAUGUUAUGGACUUGUGUGAGGUGAGAGUUUGCUUCAAAUUUACCUCAUUCUAAAUUUCACUUCUCGAGCCUAGAAAAUCCAUUAAAUUGAGGGGUUUUGGACACCUAGAUUUUGUGUUGCUGUGGUUUGAAGCUUGGCUUUGGUUUAGACAUGAUUGAUACAUGAUUUGGGACUUGUAGGAUUUAAUUUGGGCAAGAUUGGAUGAGGGGAAGUGUGGUUUUCGAAAUCUGCACUUUGUGCAGAUUUUUGCUGUGAAAUUGUGCAGCAGAAUUUUGCACAAGUGCAGAAAAAUGCUUGUGUGUGAUUGGCUAUGGAAAUUGUAGUGCAGAAUGAGUUCUGGAUGUUUGCUAGUAGAUCCCAACGGUCACAAUGUAGGCUUAAGUACUAGAGACUUCCAGUAAAAUUUUCGAGUCGAUCCAACGGUUAACGAAUUGGAACGAAGGAAAUGUUUCUGGGGUAUUUGUAUGUGAAAAGCUGUGAUUUUGGUUGGUGUUUUGGGCAGAGUUUUCUGCCUUUGCCCUGUUUUGCUUAGCUGUGAUAGCUUGUGCUGUGUGAAUGUUGUAUUACUUUGAUGUUGGGGAAGCUUGGGAGGAUUGAUGGGGACCUGGUGUUGAGAGAAACGAGGAUAUGAGCUACGUGGGAGUACGUGAGCUCAGUUGGAGGUGGGCAACAGGGGAUGGUGGGUUUAUGCGCGCAUUGUGGAUGUGGAAAACUUAUUGUGCACCAUCGCCCGACCGCCACCUAGUACCAUAUGUGAUGGGUACCCCAUAAUCCUACAAGCUUGAGAUGAGGAAGUGUUGAAGGGUGAAACUUCCUGCUUUUAUUGUUGACCACAGAGNNNNNNNNNNNNNNNNNNNNNNNNNNNNNNNNNNNNNNNNNNNNNNNNNNNNNNNNNNNNNNNNNNNNNNNNNNNNNNNNNNNNNNNNNNNNNNNNNNNNCUUGGGGACGUCAGGUGGGGUGCUAUUGCCCAAAACCAAGCUUGACCAAUCCCGACCCAACCCGGGCAUAGUCGGUCAGUGAGAACCUGUGAUGUACCUAAGCAGGCGAGCUCCUGGCAGUCAACAGAUAAAAGGAACAAAGACCACAAAGCAAGGAGGCUUGUGGUGGCUGGCCAGCUGUGAAACUUGAUUGAUAUGUGAGAUAUGGUCUCUGGUAAUCGAUUACCAAGGGUGGGUAAUCGAUUACAAGGCUUAAAAAUGAAGACAGGAGGCUAAGAUGGUCUCUGGUAAUCAAUUACCAAGGGGUGUAAUCGAUUACCAGGCUUGAAAACGAGGUCAGGAAGCCAUGAGGGCUUCUGGUAAUCGAUUACCAAGGGGGUGUAAUCGAUUACCAGGCUUAGAAAAGGGACUGGAACAUUGUGGAGGCCUCUGGUAAUCGAUUACCAGUCUGUGUAAUCGAUUACACAGAGGAAUGGGU
This 8912-nucleotide long non-coding RNA is filed under the name Glycine max (soybean). Its description in RNAcentral is "long non-coding RNA (GMAX_LNC004721)". Lineage: Eukaryota; Viridiplantae; Streptophyta; Magnoliopsida; Fabales; Fabaceae. The record is from RNAcentral.